GACAGAGGUGCCAAGCGUUAGGCGGAAUCACUGGGCUUAAAGCGUGUGUAGGCGGAUCGUUAAGUACCUCGUGAAAUCCCACGGCUCAACCGUGGAACUGCUGGGUAUACUGGCGAUCUUGAGCCACCUAGGGGCGAGCGGAACAAGCGGUGGAGCGGUGAAAUGCGUAGAUAUCGUCUGGAACGCCAAAGGUGAAAACAGGUCGCUGGGGCUGAGACACGAAAGCCAGGGGAGCGAACGGG
This 242-nucleotide ribosomal RNA is filed under the name uncultured bacterium. Its description in RNAcentral is "partial 16S ribosomal RNA". It matches the Rfam family "Bacterial small subunit ribosomal RNA", at positions 524 to 776 of the family's 1533-position model. The record is from RNAcentral.